This 405-nucleotide ribosomal RNA is filed under the name uncultured bacterium. RNAcentral's name for it is "bacterial SSU rRNA". It matches the Rfam family "Bacterial small subunit ribosomal RNA", at positions 28 to 434 of the family's 1533-position model. The record is from RNAcentral.
GACGAACGCUGGCGGCGUGCUUAACACAUGCAAGUCGAGCGGUAAGGCCCUUUCGGGGGUACACGAGCGGCGAACGGGUGAGUAACACGUGGGUGACCUGCCCUCAGCUCUGGGAUAAGCCCGGGAAACUGGGUCUAAUACUGGAUAUGACUCCACGGUGCAUGCCGUGGGGUGGAAAGCCUUGUGCGGCUGAGGAUGGGCCCGCGGCCUAUCAGCUUGUUGGUGGGGUGAUGGCCUACCAAGGCGACGACGGGUAGCCGGCCUGAGAGGGCGACCGGCCACACUGGGACUGAGACACGGCCCAGACUCCUACGGGAGGCAGCAGUGGGGAAUCUUGCGCAAUGGGCGAAAGCCUGACGCAGCGACGCCGCGUGAGGGAUGAAGGCCUCGGUCGUAACUACUUCU